Cebus imitator (Panamanian white-faced capuchin) is the source of this 134-nucleotide long non-coding RNA. RefSeq lists it as uncharacterized. The transcript is spliced from 2 exons. The record is from RefSeq and is a predicted model, not a curated record. Lineage: Eukaryota; Metazoa; Chordata; Mammalia; Primates; Cebidae.
AGGAACCAGAGAAAUCCUGACCGAUACUACCCACUGACCAUCUGCAUAUAGUGUCUGUUAGCACUUGUCAACCAUGUAUCUGCCCAGAAGAAGAAUGCUUUAAGAUAUUCUGCUUUAACUAUGGACACAAGAUU